AUUUCAAGGGAUUAAACUUAGCUGUAACAUUUGUACAUGUAUAACAUGUACAUGUAAGGCCUAGUUAUCAUGGUUAUUACAGACAUGUAUUAAUGUAUUACAUGUUUUAUAUGAGACAGUUUGGUAAUUACUGAAAAGCAAGGGCGUGUUAAAUUUUAACCUUGUCCAUCCGUCAGUACAUACAUUUAGUUGUACAUGUAUGUCCCAAAAAAUUGGGUGGUCACUGGUGUUACUUUUACCUUUCUUCAGUUAUGCAUUGCUGAAUUUUUAUUGUUCUUUUCUCUCUAAUUUUAGUUUGCCUCAACCAAAUGUUAUGAAACUUAUAUACACACCGCUUAUUUCCACAUUUAUAAAUUCAGAUCGAGUUCAUAUUUGGUGGCAUCACUUUUACUGUUCUUGAUUUAUACCCUUUACAAAUUGAAAAAUGACUGAUUUUUUUUGUUUCCGUUUUCUUA
This 455-nucleotide long non-coding RNA is filed under the name Mytilus galloprovincialis (Mediterranean mussel). The record is from RNAcentral. Lineage: Eukaryota; Metazoa; Mollusca; Bivalvia; Mytilida; Mytilidae.